GUGUCAGCCGCCGCGGUAAUACGGAGGUGGCGAGCGUUGUUCGGAAUCACUGGGCGUAAAGGGCGCGUAGGCGGGGUCGGAAGUCGGGUGUGAAAGCCCCGGGCUCAACCCGGGAACGGCGCCCGAGACUCUGGCUCUUGAGUCCCGGAGAGGCGGGUGGAAUUCCUGGUGUAGCGGUGAAAUGUGUAGAGAUCAGGAGGAACACCGGUGGCGUAGGCGGCCCGCUGGACGGAGACUGACGCUGAGGCGCGAAAGCGUGGGGAGCAAACGGGAUUAGAAACCCCCGUAGUCC
This 292-nucleotide ribosomal RNA is filed under the name uncultured bacterium. RNAcentral describes it as "partial 16S ribosomal RNA". It matches the Rfam family "Bacterial small subunit ribosomal RNA", at positions 505 to 796 of the family's 1533-position model. The record is from RNAcentral.